GGAUGAACGCUAGCGGCAGGCCUAACACAUGCAAGUCGAGGGGCAGCACAAAGAUAGUUUACUAUUUUGGUGGCGACCGGCGCACGGGUGAGUAACGCGUAUGUAACCUACCUUAUACAGGAGUAUAGCCCGAAGAAAUUCGGAUUAAUCCUCCAUAGUAUUUUCUAAUGGCAUCAUUUGGACAGUUAAAGCUCCGACGGUAAAGGAUGGGCAUGCGUCCCAUUAGCUAGAUGGUAAGGUAAUGGCUUACCAUGGCAACGAUGGGUAGGGGGCCUGAGAGGGUGACCCCCCACACUGGUACUGAGACACGGACCAGACUCCUACGGGAGGCAGCAGUGAGGAAUAUUGGUCAAUGGACGAAAGUCUGAACCAGCCAUGCCGCGUGCAGGAAGAAGGCCCUACGGGUUGUAAACUUCUUUUAUUUGGGAAGAAACCCCCCUACGUGUAGGGGGCUGACGGUACCAAACGAAUAAGCACCGGCUAACUCCGUGCCAGCAGCCGCGGUAAUACGGAGGGUGCAAGCGUUAUCCGGAUUUAUUGGGUUUAAAGGGUGCGCAGGCGGGAGAUUAAGUCAGUGGUGAAAUCCUACAGCUCAACUGUAGAACUGCCAUUGAAACUGAUCUUCUUGAAUCUGGCUGAUGUGGGCGGAAUAUGUCAUGUAGCGGUGAAAUGCUUAGAUAUGACAUGGAACACCGAUUGCGAAGGCAGCUCACAAAACCAGUAUUGACGCUCAGGCACGAAAGCGUGGGUAGCGAACAGGAUUAGAUACCCUGGUAGUCCACGCCGUAAACGAUGAUCACUCGACAUUGGCGAUAUACAGUCAGUGUCCAAGCGAAAGUGUUAAGUGAUCCACCUGGGGAGUACGAUCGCAAGGUUGAAACUCAAAGGAAUUGACGGGGGCCCGCACAAGCGGUGGAGCAUGUGGUUUAAUUCGAUGAUACGCGAGGAACCUUACCUGGGCUUAAAUGUAUUUUGACAGGCUGGGAAACCAGUCCUUCUUCGGACAAUUUACAAGGUGCUGCAUGGUUGUCGUCAGCUCGUGCUGUGAGGUGUCGGGUUAAGUCCCAUAACGAGCGCAACCCCUAUCCUUAGUUGCCAGCGAGUAAUGUCGGGGACUCUAAGGAAACUGCCGGUGCAAACCGUGAGGAAGGUGGGGAUGACGUCAAAUCAUCACGGCCCUUACGUCCAGGGCUACACACGUGCUACAAUGGCGCAUACAAAGGGCAGCUACAUGGUGACAUGAUGCUAAUCUCUAAAGUGCGUCUCAGUUCGGAUCGAAGUCUGCAACUCGACUUCGUGAAGCUGGAAUCGCUAGUAAUCGUAUAUCAGCAAUGAUACGGUGAAUACGUUCCCGGGCCUUGUACAC
RNAcentral lists this ribosomal RNA (1366 nucleotides) under uncultured prokaryote. RNAcentral's name for it is "partial 16S ribosomal RNA". It matches the Rfam family "Bacterial small subunit ribosomal RNA", at positions 27 to 1388 of the family's 1533-position model. The record is from RNAcentral.